UAAGCGAAUAGUGAAACCUGGUGGCUCAACCAUACAGACUAUUAUUCGAACUGGCAAACUCGAGAGUGGUAGAGGUCACUGGAAUUUCUUGUGUAGGAGUGAAAUCCGUAGAUAUAAGAAGGAACACCAAUGGCGUAGGCAGGUGACUAGACCAUUUCUGACGCUAAGGCACGAAAGCGUGGGGAGCGAACCGGAUUAGAUACCCGGGUAGUCCACGCCGUAAACGAUGGAUACUA
Molecule: ribosomal RNA, 236 nt
Filed under: uncultured Candidatus Saccharibacteria bacterium
Lineage: Bacteria; Candidatus Saccharimonadota
Description: partial 16S ribosomal RNA
Rfam family: Bacterial small subunit ribosomal RNA
Source: RNAcentral